This 399-nucleotide ribosomal RNA is filed under the name uncultured bacterium. Its description in RNAcentral is "partial 16S ribosomal RNA". It matches the Rfam family "Bacterial small subunit ribosomal RNA", at positions 338 to 754 of the family's 1533-position model. The record is from RNAcentral.
CCUACGGGUGGCAGCAGUGGGGGAUAUUGCACAAUGGGGGAAACCCUGAUGCAGCGACGCCGCGUGAGUGAAGAAGGAUUUCGGGAUGUAAAGCUCUAUCAGCAGGGAAGAAAAUGACAGUACCUGACCAAGAAGCCCCGGCUAACGACGAGCCAGCAGCCGCGGUCAUACGGAGGGGGCAAGCGUUAUCCGGAUUUACUGGGUGUAAAGGGAGCGGAGACGGUUAGGGCAGUCUGGAGUGACAGCCCGGGGCACAACCCCGGGACUGCUUUGGAAACUGUGUAACUGGAGUACAGGAGGGGCAGGCGGAAUUCCUGGUGUAGCGGUUAAAUGCGUCGAUAUCAGGAGGAACACCGGCGGCGAAGGCGGCCUGCUGGACUGAACCUGACGUUGAGGCUC